GUGAACGUUACCAAACUGUUGCCUCGGCGGGAUCUCUGCCCCGGGUGCGUCGCAGCCCCGGACCAAGGCGCCCGCCGGAGGACCAACCAAAACUCUUAUUGUAUACCCCCUCGCGGGUUUUUUUAUAAUCUGAGCCUUCUCGGCGCCUCUCGUAGGCGUUUCGAAAAUGAAUCAAAACUUUCAACAACGGAUCUCUUGGUUCUGGCAUCGAUGAAGAACGCAGCGAAAUGCGAUAAGUAAUGUGAAUUGCAGAAUUCAGUGAAUCAUCGAAUCUUUGAACGCACAUUGCGCCCGCCAGUAUUCUGGCGGGCAUGCCUGUCCGAGCGUCAUUUCAACCCUCGAACCCCUCCGGGGGGUCGGCGUUGGGGAUCGGCCCUGCCUUGGCGGUGGCCGUCUCCGAAAUACAGUGGCGGUCUCGCCGCAGCCUCUCCUGCGCAGUAGUUUGCACACUCGCAUCGGGAGCGCGGCGCGUCCACAGCCGUUAAACACCCAACUUCUGAAAUGUUGACCUCGGAUCAGGUAGGAAUACCCGCUGAACUUAAGCAUAUCAAUAAGCGGAGGAAAAGAAACCAACAGGGAUUGCCCCAGUAACGGCGAGUGAAGCGGCAACAGCUCAAAUUUGAAAUCUGGUCCCUAGGGCCCGAGUUGUAAUUUGUAGAGGAUGCUUUUGGUGAGGUGCCGCCCGAGUUCCCUGGAACGGGACGCCACAGAGGGUGAGAGCCCCGUCUGGCUGGCCGCCGAGCCUCUGUAAAGCUCCUUCGACGAGUCGAGUAGUUUGGGAAUGCUGCUCAAAAUGGGAGGUAUAUGUCUUCUAAAGCUAAAUAUUGGCCAGAGACCGAUAGCGCACAAGUAGAGUGAUCGAAAGAUGAAAAGCACCUUGAAAAGAGGGUUAAAUAGUACGUGAAAUUGUUGAAAGGGAAGCGCUUGUGACCAGACUUGGGCGCGGCGGAUCAUCCGGGGUUCUCUCCGGUGCACUUCGCCGCGUCUAGGCCAGCAUCAGUUCGUCGCGGGGGGAAAAAGGUUUCGGGAACGUGGUCCUCCCGGGAGUGUUAUAGCCCGUUGCUAAUACCCUGCGGGGAAUGAGGACCGCAUUUGCAGAG
This 1100-nucleotide small RNA is filed under the name Trichoderma harzianum. RNAcentral describes it as "eukaryotic LSU rRNA". The stretch from base 506 to 1100 matches the Rfam family "Eukaryotic large subunit ribosomal RNA", at positions 1 to 604 of the family's 3401-position model. The record is from RNAcentral. Lineage: Eukaryota; Fungi; Ascomycota; Sordariomycetes; Hypocreales; Hypocreaceae.